GAUGAACGCUGGCGGCGUGCCUAAUACAUGCAAGUCGAGCGAACGGACGAGAAGCUUGCUUCUCUGAUGUUAGCGGCGGACGGGUGAGUAACACGUGGAUAACCUACCUAUAAGACUGGGAUAACUUCGGGAAACCGGAGCUAAUACCGGAUAAUAUUUUGAACCGCAUGGUUCAAAAGUGAAAGACGGUCUUGCUGUCACUUAUAGAUGGAUCCGCGCUGCAUUAGAUAGUUGGUAAGGUAACGGCUUACCAAGGCAACGAUGCAUAGCCGACCUGAGAGGGGGAUCGGCCACACUGGAACUGAGACACGGUCCAGACUCCUACGGGAGGCAGCAGUAGGGAAUCGUCCGCAAUGGGCGAAAGCCUGACGGAGCAACGCCGCGUGAGUGAUGAAGGUCUUCGGAUCGUAAAACUCUGUUAUUAGGGAAGAACAUAUGUGUAAGUAACUGUGCACAUCUUGACGGUACCUAAUCAGAAAGCCACGGCUAACUACGUG
This 497-nucleotide ribosomal RNA is filed under the name uncultured bacterium. RNAcentral describes it as "partial 16S ribosomal RNA". It matches the Rfam family "Bacterial small subunit ribosomal RNA", at positions 28 to 507 of the family's 1533-position model. The record is from RNAcentral.